GACGAACGCUGGCGGCGUGCUUAACACAUGCAAGUCGAACGGUGAAGCGCCUUCCUUUUUGGUGGGUGUGGAUGAGUGGCGAACGGGUGAGUAACACGUGAGUAACCUGCCCCCUUCUUCUGGAUAACCGCAUGAAAGUGUGGCUAAUACGGGAUAUUCUGGGUCUGUCGCAUGAUGGGUCUGGGAAAGAUAUUGUUUCGGUGGGGGAUGGGCUCGCGGCCUAUCAGCUUGUUGGUGGGGUGAUGGCCUACCAAGGCGGUGACGGGUAGCCGGCCUGAGAGGGUGGACGGUCCCACUGGGACUGAGACACGGCCCCGACUCCUAGGGGAGGCAGCAGUGGGGAAUAUUGCACAAUGGGCGCAAGCCUGAUGCAGCGACGCCGCGUGAGGGAUGGAGGCCUUCGGGUUGUGAACCUCUUUCGCCAGUGAAGCAGGCCUGCCUCGUUUGUGGGUGGGUUGACGGUAGCUGGAUAAGAAGCGCCGGCUAACUACGUG
RNAcentral lists this ribosomal RNA (494 nucleotides) under uncultured bacterium. Its description in RNAcentral is "partial 16S ribosomal RNA". It matches the Rfam family "Bacterial small subunit ribosomal RNA", at positions 28 to 507 of the family's 1533-position model. The record is from RNAcentral.